Molecule: transfer RNA, 72 nt
Filed under: Candidatus Ancaeobacter aquaticus
Lineage: Bacteria; Pseudomonadati; Candidatus Auribacterota; Candidatus Ancaeobacteria; Candidatus Ancaeobacterales; Candidatus Ancaeobacteraceae
Description: tRNA-Thr
Rfam family: tRNA
About the family: Transfer RNA (tRNA) molecules are approximately 80 nucleotides in length. Their secondary structure includes four short double-helical elements and three loops (D, anti-codon, and T loops). Further hydrogen bonds mediate the characteristic L-shaped molecular structure. tRNAs have two regions of fundamental functional importance: the anti-codon, which is responsible for specific mRNA codon recognition, and the 3' end, to which the tRNAs corresponding amino acid is attached (by aminoacyl-tRNA synthetases). tRNAs cope with the degeneracy of the genetic code in two manners: having more than one tRNA (with a specific anti-codon) for a particular amino acid; and 'wobble' base-pairing, i.e. permitting non-standard base-pairing at the 3rd anti-codon position.
Source: RNAcentral
GCCUAGGUAGCUCAAAGGUAGAGCAGGGGUUUUGUAAACCUCAGGUUGAAGGUUCGAUUCCUUUCCUGGGCU